This 843-nucleotide ribosomal RNA is filed under the name Fomitopsis palustris. RNAcentral's name for it is "partial large subunit ribosomal RNA". It matches the Rfam family "Eukaryotic large subunit ribosomal RNA", at positions 35 to 862 of the family's 3401-position model. The record is from RNAcentral. Lineage: Eukaryota; Fungi; Basidiomycota; Agaricomycetes; Polyporales; Fomitopsidaceae.
AAAGCAUAUCAAUAAGCGGAGGAAAAAGAAACUAACAAGGAUUCCCCUAGUAACUGCGAGUGAAGCGGGAAAAGCUCAAAUUUAAAAUCUGGCGGUCUUUGGCCGUCCGAGUUGUAGUCUGGAGAAGUGCUUUCCGCGCUGGACUGUGUACAAGUCUCUUGGAACAGAGCGUCAUAGAGGGUGAGAAUCCCGUCUUUGACACGGACUACCAGUGCUUUGUGAUGCGCUCUCAAAGAGUCGAGUUGUUUGGGAAUGCAGCUCAAAAUGGGUGGUAAAUUCCAUCUAAAGCUAAAUAUUGGCGAGAGACCGAUAGCGAACAAGUACCGUGAGGGAAAGAUGAAAAGCACUUUGGAAAGAGAGUUAAACAGUACGUGAAAUUGCUGAAAGGGAAACGCUUGAAGUCAGUCGCGUUGGCCAGGACUCAGCCUUGCUUUUCGCUUGGUGCAUUUUCUGGUUGACGGGCCAGCAUCGAUUUUGACCACUGGAAAAAGGCUAGGGGAAUGUGGCACCUUCGGGUGUGUUAUAGCCCUUAGUCACAUACAGUGGUUGGGAUCGAGGACCGCAGCACGCCUUUAUGGCCGGGGUUCGCCCACGUUCGUGCUUAGGAUGCUGGCGUAAUGGCUUUAAACGACCCGUCUUGAAACACGGACCAAGGAGUCUAACAUGCCUGCGAGUGUUUGGGUGGAAAACCCGAGCGCGUAAUGAAAGUGAAAGUUGAGAUCCCUGUCGUGGGGAGCAUCGACGCCCGGACCUGAACUUCGGUGAUGGAUCUGCGGUAGAGCAUGUAUGUUGGGACCCGAAAGAUGGUGAACUAUGCCUGAAUAGGGUGAAGCCAGAGGAAAC